CGACACGGGGAGGUAGUGACAAUAAAUACUGAUACAGGGCUCUUUUGGGUCUUGUAAUUGGAAUGAGUACAAUUUAAACCUCUUAACGAGGAACAAUUGGAGGGCAAGUCUGGUGCCAGCAGCCGCGGUAAUUCCAGCUCCAAUAGCGUAUAUUAAAGUUGUUGCAGUUAAAAAGCUCGUAGUUGAAACUUGGGUCUGGCAGGCAGGUCCGCCUCACCGCGUGUACUUGUCCCGCCGGGCCUUCCUUCUGGAGAACCUCAUGCCCUUCACUGGGCGUGUUGGGGACCAGGACUUUUACUUUGAAAAAAUUAGAGUGUUCAAAGCAGGCCUUUGCUCGAAUACGUUAGCAUGGAAUAAUAGAAUAGGACGUGCGGUCCUAUUUUGUUGGUUUCUAGGACCGCCGUAAUGAUUAAUAGGGACAGUCGGGGGCAUCAGUAUUCAAUUGUCAGAGGUGAAAUUCUUGGAUUUAUUGAAGACUAACUACUGCGAAAGCAUUUGCCAAGGAUGUUUUCAUUAAUCAGUGAACGAAAGUUAGGGGAUCGAAGACGAUCAGAUACCGUCGUAGUCUUAACCGUAAACUAUGCCGACUAGGGAUCGGGCGAUGUUCUUUUUCUGACUCGCUCGGCACCUUACGAGAAAUCAAAGUUUUUGGGUCU
This 656-nucleotide ribosomal RNA is filed under the name Coniothyrium chiangmaiense. RNAcentral's name for it is "SSU rRNA". It matches the Rfam family "Eukaryotic small subunit ribosomal RNA", at positions 452 to 1115 of the family's 1831-position model. Lineage: Eukaryota; Fungi; Ascomycota; Dothideomycetes; Pleosporales; Coniothyriaceae. The record is from RNAcentral.